RNAcentral lists this ribosomal RNA (611 nucleotides) under uncultured bacterium. RNAcentral describes it as "bacterial SSU rRNA". It matches the Rfam family "Bacterial small subunit ribosomal RNA", at positions 556 to 1167 of the family's 1533-position model. The record is from RNAcentral.
GGGCGUAAAGCGCACGCAGGCGGUCUGUUAAGUCAGAUGUGAAAUCCCCGGGCUUAACCUGGGAACUGCAUUUGAAACUGGCAGGCUUGAGUCUCGUAGAGGGGGGUAGAAUUCCAGGUGUAGCGGUGAAAUGCGUAGAGAUCUGGAGGAAUACCGGUGGCGAAGGCGGCCCCCUGGACGAAGACUGACGCUCAGGUGCGAAAGCGUGGGGAGCGAACAGGAUUAGAUACCCUGGUAGUCCACGCCGUAAACGAUGUCGACUUGGAGGUUGUUCCCUUGAGGAGUGGCUUCCGGAGCUAACGCGUUAAGUCGACCGCCUGGGGAGUACGGCCGCAAGGUUAAAACUCAAAUGAAUUGACGGGGGCCCGCACAAGCGGUGGAGCAUGUGGUUUAAUUCGAUGCAACGCGAAGAACCUUACCUACUCUUGACAUCCAGCGAACUUGGCAGAGAUGCCCUGGUGCCUUCGGGAACGCUGAGACAGGUGCUGCAUGGCUGUCGUCAGCUCGUGUUGUGAAAUGUUGGGUUAAGUCCCGCAACGAGCGCAACCCUUAUCCUUUGUUGCCAGCGAUUCGGUCGGGAACUCAAAGGAGACUGCCGGUGAUAAACCGGA